GUCCCCAUGUCCCCAACCGAUGUCCCCAUGUCACUGUUUCUGUGUCCCCAUGUCACUCUGUCCCCAUCUCCCCAUGUCCCGUCCCCAACACGGACGUCCCCAUGUCCCCAACAUCCAUGUCCCCGUGUUCCCACGUCCCCAUGUCCCCAACAUCCAUGUCCACGUGUCCCCACGUCCCCCUGUCCCCAUCUCACCGUGUCCCAUGUCCCCUGUCCCCAACACCAACAUCCCCAUGUCCCCAUGUCCCUGUGUCCUGAUGUCCCUGCAUCCCAAUGUCCCCAACACCGAUGUCCCCAUGUCCCCACGUCCCUGUGUCCCCAUGUCCCAUGUCCCCAACAUCCAUGUCCCCAUGUCCCUGUGUCCCAUGUCCCCAGGUCCCCAAGACCACUGCCCCAUGUCUCCAACACCCGUGUCCCCCUGUCCCCGUGUCCCUGUGUCCCCUGUCCCCAACAUCCAUGUCCCUGUGUCCCAUGUCCCCUGCCCCCAUAUCCCCCUGUCCCUGUGUCCCAUGUCCUAUGUCCCCAAAACCUGUGUCCCCCUGUCCCCUGUCCCCGUGUCCCCCUGUCCCACGUCCCCGUGUCCCCAGGGGCCCCGAGGACACGGCGGUGCUGGCGCAGGCGCUGCUGGCUCACCUGGACGCCCGCCGGGCGCAGCACCCGGCCAUGGUGGAGGUGGGGGACGGGGACGGGGGGUGGGGGUGGU
RNAcentral lists this long non-coding RNA (702 nucleotides) under Anas platyrhynchos platyrhynchos (common mallard). Its description in RNAcentral is "lncRNA (ENSAPLG00000026541.1)". Lineage: Eukaryota; Metazoa; Chordata; Aves; Anseriformes; Anatidae. The record is from RNAcentral.